AGUGAACGCUGGCGGCAGGCCUAACACAUGCAAGUCGAACGGCAGCACAGUAAGAGCGCGCCCUUACGGGUGGCGAGUGGCGGGCGGGUGAGGAAUACAUCGGAAUCUACUUUUACGUGGGGGAUAACGUAGGGAAACAUACGCUAAUACCGCAUAUGAUGUACGGGAGAAAGCAGGGGAUCUUCGGAGCUUUCGUGACAGAAAGAGACGAUGUCGGAUUAGCUAGUUGGCGUGGUAAAGGCACACCAAGGCGACGAUGCGUAGCCGAUCUGAGAGGAUGAUCAGCCACACUGGAACUGAGACACGGUCCAGACUCCUACGGGAGGCAGCAGUGGGGAAUAUUGCACAAAGGGCGCAAGCCUGAUCCAGCAAUGCCGCGUGAGUGAUGAAGGUCUUCGGAUUGUAAAGCCCUUUUAUUGGGGAAGAACAUCAGUGUAUGAAUACCCCGCUGUUCUGACGGUACCUAAACAGUAAGCCCCGGCUAACUUCGUG
RNAcentral lists this ribosomal RNA (492 nucleotides) under uncultured bacterium. RNAcentral's name for it is "partial 16S ribosomal RNA". It matches the Rfam family "Bacterial small subunit ribosomal RNA", at positions 29 to 507 of the family's 1533-position model. The record is from RNAcentral.